AUUGAACGCUGGCGGCAGGCCUAACACAUGCAAGUCGAGCGGAUGAAGGGAGCUUGCUCCUGGAUUCAGCGGCGGACGGGUGAGUAAUGCCUAGGAAUCUGCCUGGUAGUGGGGGAUAACGUCCGGAAACGGGCGCUAAUACCGCAUACGUCCUGAGGGAGAAAGUGGGGGAUCUUCGGACCUCACGCUAUCAGAUGAGCCUAGGUCGGAUUAGCUAGUUGGUGGGGUAAAGGCCUACCAAGGCGACGAUCCGUAACUGGUCUGAGAGGAUGAUCAGUCACACUGGAACUGAGACACGGUCCAGACUCCUACGGGAGGCAGCAGUGGGGAAUCUUGCACAAUGGGCGAAAGCCUGACCCAGCCACGCCGCGUGUGUGAUGAAGGUCUUCGGAUUGUAAAGCUCUUUUAGUUGGGAGGAACGGAAGUAUGUUUAACCCUGCCUGUCUUGACGUUACCUACAGAGUAAGCCCCGGCUAACUACGUG
Molecule: ribosomal RNA, 484 nt
Filed under: uncultured bacterium
Lineage: Bacteria
Description: partial 16S ribosomal RNA
Rfam family: Bacterial small subunit ribosomal RNA
Source: RNAcentral